UACUGAAAUAUGAAUGUGUAGUGCCUA
Molecule: small RNA, 27 nt
Filed under: Bombyx mori (domestic silkworm)
Lineage: Eukaryota; Metazoa; Arthropoda; Insecta; Lepidoptera; Bombycidae
Description: ovarian small RNA-21436
Source: RNAcentral